This is a long non-coding RNA of Alosa alosa (allis shad), 862 nucleotides long. RefSeq lists it as uncharacterized. The record is from RefSeq and is a predicted model, not a curated record. The transcript has 6 exons. NCBI's taxonomy places the organism in Eukaryota, Metazoa, Chordata, Actinopteri, Clupeiformes, Clupeidae.
AUAAGUAUCCAUUGAUAUGUGUGACAAAACAUACCAACUGGUGUCAACAUCAGCUAGGCUAUGUUGGCAUUUUCUGAUGGUUCUUCAUGACUGAUCAUAAGUUUCUUAUGGAUCCCCAGUUGCUGCCUCCUUCUGAAGCACAGUUGGGUCAUCAAAUAUAUUUUACUGUCUGAAAAUAGGUCGCCGCCCGAUGUUAUUAGAGAGGCUGAAAACCAGACUGGAACAGGCUCUUCAAAGGCAGCCUCUGGACCUGGACUAUUUAGAGUUCCUCUGUACCCGUGAGUUGAGCCUAGUUCACUGAGUACUCACAUGCCAUUUCCAGAAGAGGUCAUAGGCAGACGGGAAAAGCAGGCCUUAAGAGGGCUACAGGAUACUGGGGUGCUCCCAAUGAUAACAGAACGGCCAGAACUGGCUAGAGUUCUGUUCCCACAAGGUGUCUCAUCUCUGAUGGAUCCUAAGAUGAUUUUGAAAAGAGAGGUUUGACCAGAUGAGGCGGAGGUUGACGAAGAUGAAAUGGAAGACUGCCGUGUCACAGCCUACCUCAGACAAUACGUUGCCGUGCCUACCUCAGACAUUACGUUGUAAGCGUUUCUUUAGAGACAUUGAAAGACCUGGUGGUCUUCUGGACGGGAUGGUCUGUUGGCAGGGGCAAUGCCGACUGUACUUUGAAACUCCCCUAGGGACAAGAAUGUAUGACACCUUCAAAGAAGCUAUGAAUGCAGCGCUGAAAUAAAGCAAUUAUGGUUUUGGCUUGAUCUAGUGUUGUUUUCUGCAAGUUCAAUGCAGUAUAGUCAACAAUUUCAGUGUUUCAGACGGUGACCAGAGUUCCAGUUGUUCAAUGAAUAAACUAUGCAAUGAGAAA